Molecule: ribosomal RNA, 253 nt
Filed under: uncultured prokaryote
Description: partial 16S ribosomal RNA
Rfam family: Bacterial small subunit ribosomal RNA
Source: RNAcentral
UACAGAGGGUGCAAGCGUUAAUCGGAAUUACUGGGCGUAAAGCGCGCGUAGGUGGUUUGUUAAGUUGGAUGUGAAAGCCCCGGGCUCAACCUGGGAACUGCAUUCAAAACUGACAAGCUAGAGUAUGGUAGAGGGUGGUGGAAUUUCCUGUGUAGCGGUGAAAUGCGUAGAUAUAGGAAGGAACACCAGUGGCGAAGGCAGCCCCCUGGGUCGAUACUGACGCUCAUGCACGAAAGCGUGGGGAGCAAACAGG